GAUGAACGCUGGCGGUAUGCUUAACACAUGCAAGUCGAACGGACUCUUCGGAGUUAGUGGCGGACGGGUGAGUAACGCGUGAGAAUCUGGCUUUGGGUUCGGGACAACCACUGGAAACGGUGGCUAAUACCGGAUGUGCCGAGAGGUAAAAGAGAAAUUGCCUGAAGAUGAGCUCGCGUCUGAUUAGCUAGUUGGUGAGGUAAAGGCUCACCAAGGCAGCGAUCAGUAGCUGGUCUGAGAGGAUGACCAGCCACACUGGGACUGAGACACGGCCCAGACUCCUACGGGAGGCAGCAGUGGGGAAUUGUCCGCAAUGGGCGAAAGCCUGACGGAGAAAUACCGCGUGAGGGAAGAAGGCUCUUGGGUUGUAAACCUCUUUUCUUAGGGAAGAACAAAAUGACGGUACCUAAGGAAUCAGCAUCGGCUAACUCCGUG
This 435-nucleotide ribosomal RNA is filed under the name uncultured bacterium. RNAcentral describes it as "partial 16S ribosomal RNA". It matches the Rfam family "Bacterial small subunit ribosomal RNA", at positions 28 to 507 of the family's 1533-position model. The record is from RNAcentral.